AUGACCUCCUGAACUGACAUGCCUUGAAAAGCAUCAUGUAAGGAUAAUAUAAAGCCCUUCCUAUAAUACUGGAUUUGAAUAAAAAGCAUUUUGCUCCAUUCUGGGGGAAAAUCAGUUCCUUUUUUCUGUUUGCCAGAACUUUCCACCUACAUUCUGCAGUUAAUCAGGUUGGCCAUUCAGGUGAAAGUAUAGCUUCAUGAACACAUGUUUAGGAUUUGGAUAUGAACACAAUGAUGAAAAUAACUAGAUAAUACAGAAGUGGCAAAAACAGGUAUGAAAUGAAAUUAAAAGGACUGGAGAGG
This 302-nucleotide long non-coding RNA is filed under the name Anser brachyrhynchus (Pink-footed goose). RNAcentral describes it as "lncRNA (ENSABRG00000010957.1)". The record is from RNAcentral. Lineage: Eukaryota; Metazoa; Chordata; Aves; Anseriformes; Anatidae.